UAAAGUUGAUGAUGACUUGUCCAUAAUGGAUCUUCACAAAAUUCCAUCAGCAUUCAACUGCCACUAAGUUCCAAUUUCUUUGGUUUCAUUUUCUACUUGGCUCCUGAUGAUGAUGACCAGAAUGCAAAUCUGGAAGUUAAGUUCUUUGCUCGGCUACCAAAUAAGGAGGAAGUGGUGAUAAAAGAGUGUGGCAUCCGUUGGAUAUACACAAACAUGGAGAAGGAAUCAAGAGGAGAAACAGGGGUGUUUUUGAGUUAGAAGCCAUUGCAUCUCCAAAUGAAGAAAAGGGGUUCGAAUCUGAUGAUGAAGGGGAAGAACUAGUUCCUCCAGCAAAGAAAUUUAAGCAUAGCUUAAUGGAAGUUGAAUCAGUAGAAAACUUGAGAUAAGGUUCAAGCAAACUCAGAUCAGGCUAUGGUUUGGAAUCAGCUCAAAGCAGGAUCCUUCCAGUUCAAUGAAGACUGACAGGGAUAUGAAGUUUCUGUAUUUCAUUUAUUUUUGUAUUCAUAAUGUGUUAUACCUGAUAUAAAAAUUUAGGCAAUAUUCUUUGUGUGAGUUGUUAUACUGGUUACAUGCUUUAUUAUUUUUUCACUACUUGCUAAAGUUUCAAGUCUUUUUUCUUAUGUUGAUACCACCCUCCUCCUCCCUUAUGUGAUGUGAUGAGAGAAUAAAGAUUAAUGUACCUCCAGAUA
Arachis duranensis is the source of this 689-nucleotide long non-coding RNA. RefSeq lists it as uncharacterized. Lineage: Eukaryota; Viridiplantae; Streptophyta; Magnoliopsida; Fabales; Fabaceae. The record is from RefSeq and is a predicted model, not a curated record. The transcript has 3 exons.